UACGGGGGGAGCAAGCGUUGUUCGGAUUUACUGGGCGUAAAGGGCGCGUAGGCGGCCAGCACAAGUCAGUUGUGAAAUCUCCGAGCUUAACUCGGAAAGGUCAACUGAUACUGAUGUGCGUAGAGUGCAGAAGGGGCAAUCGGAAUUCUUGGUGUAGCGGUGAAAUGCGCAGAUAUCAGGAGGAACACCGGUGGCGAAGGCGGCCACCUGGACGGUAACUGACGCUGAGACGCGAAAGCGUGGGGAGCAAACAGG
This 255-nucleotide ribosomal RNA is filed under the name uncultured bacterium. RNAcentral's name for it is "partial 16S ribosomal RNA". It matches the Rfam family "Bacterial small subunit ribosomal RNA", at positions 524 to 776 of the family's 1533-position model. The record is from RNAcentral.